This is an RNA transcript of Bufo gargarizans (Asiatic toad), 1347 nucleotides long. It is a transcript of the gene named chromosome 10 C16orf74 homolog, with no coding region annotated. Lineage: Eukaryota; Metazoa; Chordata; Amphibia; Anura; Bufonidae. The record is from RefSeq and is a predicted model, not a curated record. The transcript has 3 exons.
CAUCCUGGCUCUCUUCUUACACAUCCCAUUAAUGUAAAGUAUAUAUGUCUGCCAAGUUUCCUGUAAUGCGCUGUAUGAGUGAUGAGCGGACGGGAGCGGAGGGUAAUGGGAUUACUGCAGCUGAAUGGAAGAAAAAACUUCCCCGUGUUCCCUGCAGUCGUGGGGAGGAGGCAGCUGAUUGGUCAGAGGUGGUCGCCCCGCGCUGCGCUCCGAGGACUAAAGCUGUGCUGCCAGGUGAAGUCAGCAGACCGGGAGCAGGACAUGCGGGAUCCACACCGCCCAGGUGAGACGCCCCCCACACUACACACACCACCCAGGAUCUGAGGAGCCGAGGGCAGAAUGAUAGCAUGGGCCUCCACGUCUCCUGUCUGAAAGCGCUGCAGAUGUGUAACACCAGCGACGAAGCUUCCAGAAGAUUCCCAGACAGACACCUGAACGUCCCAGACAUCAUCAUCACCCCUCCCACCCCGACUGGGACCUUGAAUGCCAAAACAGCAGUCCAACAUGGCCGCCCGGCCUCCCCCGCGAAGAGACGCAGAUGAUGGGGGAGGGGCGUUAUCCCUCAGAGAAGGCGAUGAGAACACCAACGCCUUGUGCAGACAGCGCAGGGUGACUGCUGCGUAAUACAAACGGAUACAACUUUAUUGUCCAAGUGCCGAGACAAACAUUUUAUAUAUUUUUAUUAUAACGUUACCCCCCCCCCCCCCUCCAGGACAUCUAUAUAAGUGAUGGAGCACCCCCAUCAUCCCGUCCCUCCUCGUUACUGAGAUCUCUAGAGCGACCGGAAGAACCUGCUCUAAUGAACAAUAAAAAUGUGAAAACCGUCUGUUAAUCUCUCCCUUCUGAGAUCUGAUCCCUCUACGUUCCAGGCCCAAAGCCUGAGGCUGCACUACUGAGAGCAUCUGAUCCGGCAGCGUGGAUCCAGGUCACCGUGCACAUGCAUCUGUCCAGCCGGUGGUGAUGCUGAUCUGACAUAACCCGCCAUGUAUACGGCCACUAGGGCACACUAUAGUUGUGUGUGUCAGGAAGGCCGACCCUACAGAGAUUUCCCAGGGGCUCAUCAUGGCCGCCAGUACAUAACGAGCAGAUGCUCUCAGCAUCAAUAAUGUCAGAGUAUCAGGAGCCCUCCUGUAUGUCAGGGCCACGAUACAGCUUCAUACUGCGGGGCGGGUGGCAGUAUUGUGUGCUGCACUAUGGUAUCUGGUUCUGCAGGGGCGGUACAUAGCUCUGCACUGUGGUAUUACUGGCCCCGCCCACUUCUGUUGUCCCACCUUCUAUUAAUGUGGACCCGUCUACAACAUGAGGCCACUUUUAGAUUUUUUUUUUCAUCCCUAAGCGGCCAUGAUG